GAUACUCUCAGAAGGGUUGCAGGUGUGACUGCUCUGUCUCAUGUAUACCAGUAGGUGGCAGAGAGGAGAGAGGAUAUGUCUACCCUCAGUGUUCUGACCUGUGAACAUCUAAUUGAUUAGUAGCCUUAUACU
Apodemus sylvaticus (European woodmouse) is the source of this 132-nucleotide small nucleolar RNA. RefSeq annotates it as small nucleolar RNA SNORA17. The transcript has a single exon. The record is from RefSeq and is a predicted model, not a curated record. NCBI's taxonomy places the organism in Eukaryota, Metazoa, Chordata, Mammalia, Rodentia, Muridae.